CAGCGACUUAUAUUCUGUAGCAAGGUUAACCGAAUAGGGGAGCCGAAGGGAAACCGAGUCUUAACUGGGCGUUAAGUUGCAGGGUAUAGACCCGAAACCCGGUGAUCUAGCCAUGGGCAGGUUGAAGGUUGGGUAACACUAACUGGAGGACCGAACCGACUAAUGUUGAAAAAUUAGCGGAUGACUUGUGGCUGGGGGUGAAAGGCCAAUCAAACCGGGAGAUAGCUGGUUCUCCCCGAAAGCUAUUUAGGUAGCGCCUCGUGAAUUCAUCUCCGGGGGUAGAGCACUGUUUCGGCAAGGGGGUCAUCCCGACUUACCAACCCGAUGCAAACUGCGAAUACCGGAGAAUGUUAUCACGGGAGACACACGGCGGGUGCUAACGUCCGUCGUGAAGAGGGAAACAACCCAGACCGCCAGCUAAGGUCCCAAAGUCAUGGUUAAGUGGGAAACGAUGUGGGAAGGCCCAGACAGCCAGGAUGUUGGCUUAGAAGCAGCCAUCAUUUAAAGAAAGCGUAAUAGCUCACUGGUCGAGUCGGCCUGCGCGGAAGAUGUAACGGGGCUAAACCAUGCACCGAAGCUGCGGCAGCGACGCUGAUGCGUUGUUGGGUAGGGGAGCGUUCUGUAAGCCUGUGAAGGUGUGCUGUGAGGCAUGCUGGAGGUAUCAGAAGUGCGAAUGCUGACAUAAGUAACGAUAAAGCGGGUGAAAAGCCCGCUCGCCGGAAGACCAAGGGUUCCUGUCCAACGUUAAUCGGGGCAGGGUGAGUCGACCCCUAAGGCGAGGCCGAAAGGCGUAGUCGAUGGGAAACAGGUUAAUAUUCCUGUACUUGGUGUUACUGCGAAGGGGGGACGGAGAAGGCUAUGUUGGCCGGGCGACGGUUGUCCCGGUUUAAGCGUGUAGGCUGGUUUUCCAGGCAAAUCCGGAAAAUCAAGGCUGAGGCGUGAUGACGAGGCACUACGGUGCUGAAGCAACAAAUGCCCUGCUUCCAGGAAAAGCCUCUAAGCAUCAGGUAACAUCAAAUCGUACCCCAAACCGACACAGGUGGUCAGGUAGAGAAUACCAAGGCGCUUGAGAGAACUCGGGUGAAGGAACUAGGCAAAAUGGUGCCGUAACUUCGGGAGAAGG
Molecule: ribosomal RNA, 1123 nt
Filed under: Escherichia coli
Lineage: Bacteria; Pseudomonadati; Pseudomonadota; Gammaproteobacteria; Enterobacterales; Enterobacteriaceae
Description: bacterial LSU rRNA
Rfam family: Bacterial large subunit ribosomal RNA
Source: RNAcentral